This 253-nucleotide ribosomal RNA is filed under the name uncultured bacterium. RNAcentral describes it as "partial 16S ribosomal RNA". It matches the Rfam family "Bacterial small subunit ribosomal RNA", at positions 524 to 776 of the family's 1533-position model. The record is from RNAcentral.
GACAGAGGGUGCAAACGUUGUUCGGAAUUACUGGGCGUAAAGCGCGUGUAGGCGGCUGCGCAAGUCGGAUGUGAAAUCCCAUGGCUCAACCAUGGAAGUGCACCCGAAACUGCGUAGCUAGAGUCUCGGAGAGGAAGGCGGAAUGCUUGGUGUAGAGGUGAAAUCCGUAGAUAUCGGGAGGAAUACCAGCGGCGAAGGCGGCCUUCUGGACGGUGACUGACGCUGAGACGCGAAAGCGUGGGGAGCAAACAGG